Long non-coding RNA from Amblyraja radiata (thorny skate), 511 nucleotides. RefSeq lists it as uncharacterized. The record is from RefSeq and is a predicted model, not a curated record. The transcript has 4 exons. NCBI's taxonomy places the organism in Eukaryota, Metazoa, Chordata, Chondrichthyes, Rajiformes, Rajidae.
GCUAUCCAAAUUCUUGCUGGAAUAGUGGAACCUGUGCACUGACUGAAAAUGGCUACAGAUGUCAUUGCCCGAUACUAUACAAUGGAUGCCUUUGUGAAAUAGAGAAUGACCCAUAUAAGAAUAACCCAUGCAGCCAUGGAGACUGCCUCAUCAUAAUUGUGCCUCCUUAUUAUAAAUGUAAAUGAAGACAUCCUUAUCAGCCUCCAACAUGUACCAACGCAACUGCUAUUUGUGAUCCAAAUCCAUGCCGUUAUGGAGGAACAUGCAUGCAUAGAGAGAACAACAGAGCGUUCAAGUGCAUCUGUCCAGCGUUAUCCCAGGGAGAGCUUAAUGAAAUAGGAAUCGUUGACUGCUACACAGAAGAUAAUGAGUCCACACACCAAUGACAUGCAAGCCAUGCCAGAAAUGGAAAGAGAGGUCUGUAUUGGGAUUCCCACUUAAUUCUGUCACCACAAAUGAUUCUCCAGAUGUAAAAUAAUGGAAGUGAAUUUGAAGAACAUAACUACUGCAG